This 1053-nucleotide long non-coding RNA is filed under the name Canis lupus familiaris (dog). RNAcentral's name for it is "lncRNA (ENSCAFG00030005079.1)". Lineage: Eukaryota; Metazoa; Chordata; Mammalia; Carnivora; Canidae. The record is from RNAcentral.
AUGCAGCGGGAUUCCUCCGCCGGCCUCCCCGCGGGCCCGGGACGCGCCGCCCCGAACCCCAGCACCUCGGGGCCCGCGCGGCUCACCGGCGCCCCCGCCCCUCCCGGCGCCGCCCCGACGUGGCCCCGACCCCGGGGAGGGAGAGGCGGGCGGGGACCCGGGACCCGGGCCUCGGGGCGGGAGGCAGCAGUCCCGGGGCCGCCGCCCUCCCCCGGGGACGCCGUCCCGCCGCCGCUUCCUGCCCGGCUCAGCGCCCCGGCCGCGGCCUCGGGGACACUCCGGGCGGCCCGCGCUCCGCGGGGACCAGCCGCUCCGCCCGGACCCCCGGACCCCGGGACCCCCGACCCCCCCAGCCCCCCCAGCCCCGCGGCGCCCCCAGGACUCCGACCCCCGGCCCCCGCCCGCAGCCCCGCAGCCCCGCAGCCCCGCGAGCCGCCUCACCGCGCUCCGCGCCGCCGGGGCUCGCUCCCGCGGGGCCGCUCCCGCUCCAGCCGCAGCCUCGGGGCCGCCGCGCCGCCUCCUCCGCCGCCGCGUUUCAAAUUGAAAUUCCCUGGCUCCGGCCGUCAGAGCCCCGGCGCCCGCCCCGCCCCUCGCGGCGGAAGCCCCGCCUGCGCCCCCGGACGCGCCCCCAGCGCGGAAACCCCCGCGGCCGCGCCACGCCCCGGCCACGCCCCGGCCACCCCCCUCCGGCCGCGCCGUGCCCCCUGUGGCCACGCCCCUCCGGCCGCGCCACGCCCCGGCCACGCCCCUCGGGUCGAGCCACGGCCCUCUGGCCACGCCCCCUCGACAGCGCCACGCCCCUAUGGUCACGCCCCCUCCGGCCGCGCACGGCCCUCUGGCCACGCCCCCCUCGACAGCGCCACGGCCCUAUGGUCCCGCCCCUUAGGCCACGCCCCCAGGGGCGGGACUUGCCGCGGGAUUCGCCGCCCCGGCCGCCGGGCACCCGCGGCUGCAAGGAUGCGCUCCCCGACCGCGAACCCCGCCCGUAAAUCCCGUUUCACCAACUUUGCAAACUGCUUUCCUCGGACUGCGAGAGGCCUAAGCCGUCACUGA